UGUAUGUACCUUAUGAAUAAGGAUCGGCUAACUCCGUGCCAGCAGCCGCGGUAAUACGGAGGAUCCGAGCGUUAUCCGGAUUUAUUGGGUUUAAAGGGUGCGUAGGCGGCCUUUUAAGUCAGCGGUGAAAGUCUGUGGCUCAACCAUAGAAUUGCCGUUGAAACUGGGAGGCUUGAGUAUGUUUGAGGCAGGCGGAAUGCGUGGUGUAGCGGUGAAAUGCUUAGAUAUCACGCAGAACCCCGAUUGCGAAGGCAGCCUGCCAAGCCAUGACUGACGCUGAUGCACGAAAGCGUGGGGAUCAAACAGGAUUAGAUACCCUGGUAGUCCACGCAGUAAACGAUGAUCACUAGCUGUUUGCGAUACACAGUAA
RNAcentral lists this ribosomal RNA (370 nucleotides) under uncultured bacterium. Its description in RNAcentral is "bacterial SSU rRNA". It matches the Rfam family "Bacterial small subunit ribosomal RNA", at positions 470 to 842 of the family's 1533-position model. The record is from RNAcentral.